RNAcentral lists this long non-coding RNA (553 nucleotides) under Ficedula albicollis (Collared flycatcher). RNAcentral describes it as "lncRNA (ENSFALG00000023026.1)". Lineage: Eukaryota; Metazoa; Chordata; Aves; Passeriformes; Muscicapidae. The record is from RNAcentral.
CCGGUGGCGGCCGCGGCCGCCAGGGGGCGCGCAGCUCCCGCCGCCCACCCAGAGCUGCCCCGCGCGCCGCGGCUCUGAGGGGCUCCGGGGGCUCCGCGCUCCCGCCGCAGCAGCGGGCACUUCCAGUGCAAUGUCCAGCAAGUAAUUCUCGAUAAGGGUUAAUUCUCACCCCACCACCCCCCCCCUCCAAUUUUUUUCUUUAGUUUUCUAAGGUAUUUUAACCCUUUCCCUACGCCCUCGGCGCGUAGCGGGGAGCAGUGCCCCGUGUGCCAUGCCCUGUUCCUCGGUGGCCCCGAGCUCCCCCCGCCGCUGCCGGCGGGAUCUGCACGGUCGCUGCCGCUCGGGCCGGCGCACAGGGGACGGGUGGCGGCGAGAGGGAGCGGAACGGGCGGGCCCCCGGUGCCGCCGCAGCGCUGGACGGGGGCCGUGGGAGCCGGGCGGUAAUUGCCUGCUUGACGUCCGCGAGAUGCGAAGCGUGGCUGAAAAGCAAGCCUGGAGUGCCCUUCAGGAGGUCAACCUAUUUGACCAAAAGUUUGAAUGCAUGCAAAACUGA